Amaranthus tricolor (Joseph's coat) is the source of this 87-nucleotide small nucleolar RNA. RefSeq annotates it as small nucleolar RNA snoR114. The record is from RefSeq and is a predicted model, not a curated record. NCBI's taxonomy places the organism in Eukaryota, Viridiplantae, Streptophyta, Magnoliopsida, Caryophyllales, Amaranthaceae. The transcript has a single exon.
GAGCCGUGAUGACUAAUGCGCCACUGUGGAUGGAGGGUCCUCCACAUUUAACAGAUUGAAAGAUGAAUAUUGGCGGUUACUGAGCUC